This 272-nucleotide unclassified non-coding RNA is filed under the name Hevea brasiliensis (rubber tree). Lineage: Eukaryota; Viridiplantae; Streptophyta; Magnoliopsida; Malpighiales; Euphorbiaceae. The record is from RNAcentral.
GCAAAAGAUUAAGGCGAAGGAAGGUGACUGGAUGAUGGGCGAUAAAUGGGUAUAAGGAAAAAGAGAGACAGAAAAAGAGAGAGGAAAUAAACUUUGGGAUCUGGUAAGUCGAGUAGAAAGGAAUUUAGGUGCAGGGAAGAAAUUGGGCGUGUCUCCAACCAUGAAACCGUCCUCCACAAAGACACCUCUCUCUCUCUCAAUUGUUCUGUUCUUCUGGGCUUUUCUUCGACAGCCCACAAGAACACCCACAAAUGCCGAUAGCUCCAAGUAGA